RNAcentral lists this ribosomal RNA (773 nucleotides) under uncultured Neocallimastigales. RNAcentral's name for it is "partial large subunit ribosomal RNA". It matches the Rfam family "Eukaryotic large subunit ribosomal RNA", at positions 24 to 618 of the family's 3401-position model. Lineage: Eukaryota; Fungi; Neocallimastigomycota; Neocallimastigomycetes; Neocallimastigales. The record is from RNAcentral.
UAUCUCUGUAGAGUCUGCAUAUCAAUAAGCGGAGGAAAAGAAACUAACUAGGAUCCCCUCAGUAACGGCGAGUGAAGCGGGAAGAGCUCAAAUUUGAAAUCUUCAAGGUUUUACCUUGACGAAUUGUAGUUUAAAGAAGUGUUUUCUGUUGGAGUUUUGGUAAAAGUUCUUUGGAAUAGGACAUCAUAGAGGGUGAGAAUCCCGUAUUUGACCAUUAUUUCCAGCUUUGUGAUACACUUUCAACGAGUCGGAUUGUUUGGGAAUGCAGUCCAAAAUGGGUGGUAAAUUUCAUCUAAAGCUAAAUAUUGGCGAGAGACCGAUAGCGAACAAGUACCGUGAGGGAAAGAUGAAAAGAACUUUGAAAAGAGAGUUAAACAGUACGUGAAAUUGUCAAAAGGGAAGCGUUCGACACCAGUGUUGUUUCUACGAAAAUCAAUUUAUGAUGGCUUGAUGCUAAGCUUUAAGACUUUAUCCGCUUGUUGUUUAGUUUUCUUGUCUUUGUGAAUGCACUUUUAGUGGAACAAGUCAACAUCAAUUUCUUUUGCUGUAAAAGGGUAAGAGGAAGGUGGCUUCGGCUUCGGUUGAAGUGUUUAUAGCCUUUUAUCUCUGCAGUCGGAGAGAUUGAGGUCUGCAGCGUAGACUCUUCGGGGUUAGAUACGUCGGUGCUAAGCUAUAGCUUUUCAUAGACAACUUGUUGACUAUGUUUAGUCAUGUGGCUUACCCGCUGGCGCUAUUUUACCUACGCUUAGGAUGUUGAGUCAUCACACAUCUCU